UACGAAGGGUGCAAGCGUUACUCGGAAUUACUGGGCGUAAAGCGUGCGUAGGUGGUGAGUUAAGUCUGAUGUGAAAUCCCCGGGCUCAACCUGGGAAUGGCAUUGGAUACUGGCUCGCUAGAGUGCGGUAGAGGGUGGUGGAAUUCCCGGUGUAGCAGUGAAAUGCGUAGAGAUCGGGAGGAACAUCUGUGGCGAAGGCGGCCACCUGGACCAGCACUGACACUGAGGCACGAAAGCGUGGGGAGCGAACAGG
Molecule: ribosomal RNA, 253 nt
Filed under: uncultured bacterium
Lineage: Bacteria
Description: partial 16S ribosomal RNA
Rfam family: Bacterial small subunit ribosomal RNA
Source: RNAcentral